GACGAACGCUGGCGGCGCGCCUAACACAUGCAAGUCGAACGGAGCUGCGAGAAGCUUGCUUUUCUUAGCUUAGUGGCGAACGGGUGAGUAACGCGUGAGUAACCUGCCCUGGAGUGGGGGACAACAGUUGGAAACGACUGCUAAUACCGCAUAAGCCCACGAUCCGGCAUCGGGGUGAGGGAAAAGGAUUUAUUCGCUUCAGGCUGGACUCUCGUCCGAUUAUCGAGUGGGUGAGGUAACGGCCCGCCAAGGCGACGAAUGGUGGCCGGACGGGGAGGUUGCCCGGCUACAUUGGGACUGCGACACGGCCCCGACUCCUACGGGAGGGAGGAGUGGGGGAUAUUGCACAAUGGGGCAAGAUCUGAUGCAGCGGCGCGGCGUAGAGGAAGAAGGUUUUCGGAUUGUAAACUCCUGUCGUUAGGGACGAUAAUGACGGUACCUAACAAGAAAGCACCGGCUAACUACGUG
RNAcentral lists this ribosomal RNA (468 nucleotides) under uncultured bacterium. RNAcentral describes it as "partial 16S ribosomal RNA". It matches the Rfam family "Bacterial small subunit ribosomal RNA", at positions 28 to 507 of the family's 1533-position model. The record is from RNAcentral.